CCCGGAUCCACCUCAGUGCGCUGACAGGGUCACUUCCAAUGGCCACCGGCUACUGUCUACAGCCUGAAGAAGGGAGAGCUACAACUGACAGAUACGCCGCAUAAUGGCAAAGACACGACCAUGACCCUCCAUUUGCCAAAGGCCUACCAGCACAGCACUGCCAAGGACGCACACCCAUUAGUGUGUGUGUGUGCUGCCAAUGUAGUCUGUGUGCACACUCAGUUGCGUGGAUUGUCAGUUGAAAUUCGUUUUCAACGAAUAAAAGCAAACGUGAUAAAAAUUUCACAUUUGCAUUCUCCGCUGCA
Hippocampus zosterae (dwarf seahorse) is the source of this 305-nucleotide long non-coding RNA. RefSeq lists it as uncharacterized. Lineage: Eukaryota; Metazoa; Chordata; Actinopteri; Syngnathiformes; Syngnathidae. The transcript is spliced from 2 exons. The record is from RefSeq and is a predicted model, not a curated record.